AUUGAACGCUAGCGGGAUGCUUUACACAUGCAAGUCGAACGGCAGCGCGGACUUCGGUCUGGCGGCGAGUGGCGAACGGGUGAGUAAUGUAUCGGAACGUGCCCAGUAGCGGGGGAUAACUACGCGAAAGCGUAGCUAAUACCGCAUACGCCCUACGGGGGAAAGCAGGGGAUCGUAAGACCUUGCACUAUUGGAGCGGCCGAUAUCGGAUUAGCUAGUUGGUGAGGUAACGGCUCACCAAGGCGACGAUCCGUAGCUGGUUUGAGAGGACGACCAGCCACACUGGGACUGAGACACGGCCCAGACUCCUACGGGAGGCAGCAGUGGGGAAUUUUGGACAAUGGGGGCAACCCUGAUCCAACCAUCCCGCGUGUGCGAUGAAGGCCUUCGGGUUGUAAAGCACUUUUGGCAGGAAAGAAACGUCGCGGGCUAAUACCCCGUGGAACUGACGGUACCUGCAGAAUAAGCACCGGCUAACUACGUG
This 484-nucleotide ribosomal RNA is filed under the name uncultured bacterium. RNAcentral describes it as "partial 16S ribosomal RNA". It matches the Rfam family "Bacterial small subunit ribosomal RNA", at positions 30 to 507 of the family's 1533-position model. The record is from RNAcentral.